Molecule: RNA transcript, 3670 nt
Organism: Balaenoptera musculus (blue whale)
Lineage: Eukaryota; Metazoa; Chordata; Mammalia; Artiodactyla; Balaenopteridae
Gene: TMEM35B
Gene name: transmembrane protein 35B
Exons: 4
Source: RefSeq, a predicted model, not a curated record
CGCGGCCAUGGCGCUCCCGCUCGCCGCUCUGCGCGUACUGUUGGGCGGCUUCUUCGCGCUCACGGGGGCGGCCAAGCUCUCGGAGCAGAUCUCGGCUCCGGUGUCUGAGCAGAUGUUUUAAAUCAGACCCAGGACUUCUUUGUGGUCAAAAGGCAAGGGGGAAGGAAACAAGACUGGAAGGCCUGUGAGAUGUGAAACCUUUUCAGCUCUGCCCAGGGUGCUCCAGGCAAGCCCCAGGAGAGGACCUUCACCAAGUCCCAGGUCCGAGAUGAACAGCAGCGCUGGGGAGCUGGGUGUUGGUGCUGGCGGCCGCAGCCCCUGGGACGACCCUGCUGGCUUCAUCGUGGUGCCCGCAGCCUACGCCUUGGCACCGGGCCUGGGGCUGCUGGCCAACGUGGCGGCCAUGGCAGUGUUCGUCUGCCACGGCAGGCGCCUGGGCCAGGCCCUGCGUCUCCACCUGCUCAACCUGGCCCUGGCCGACAUGGUCUUCACGCUCACGCUGCCGCUGUGGCUCACCUACUACCUGGGCCCGACCCCCUGGCCCUUCCCGGAGGCUGCCUGCCGCGCGGCUGGGGCCACCUACUGCGUGUCCACCUACGCGGCCGUGGCCUUCACGGCGCUCACCAGCGUGUGCCGCUGCGGCUCGGUGCGCCCGCCCGGCCCUGCGCCGCUGGGGCCCCGACCGCGCCGCGUGCGCCGCCGCCCGGCUGGCCGGCCUGGCCUGCGCCGCACCCUCGCUGGCCGCUCCCCACGCGCUGCGCCCCAGGCCGGGCGGUGCCGCUCGCUGCCUGGAGCGUGGCUGGGCUAGCGCUGGCCUGGCCUACGCCACCGUGGCCUUCUUCCCCGCCGCCUUCCUGCUGGUGCUCGCGGCCUAUGUGAGCUUGGCGCGGGCGCUCGCGGCGCCCUCGGGCCCGGGCCCGGCCCUGGCCCCAGCCAGUCCAAACCGGCGCGCGGCCAGGACCAUGGUGCUCGGGCACCUGUUGGUCUUUGCCCUCUGCCUGGCGCCCUACCACCUGCUGCUGGCGCCCUGGGUGGCCGGGCAGGAGGGCACCGUGGGCCGCGACGACGGAGGGUGCCGGGCCACCUCCACGCCUGACGUCCUGCACACCCUCAGCCUGGCGCUGCUGAGUCUCAACAGCUGCCUGGACCCGCUCAUCUACUGCUUCUCUGUGCGCCGCUUCUGCCAGGACUGCUGGGCGCUGAGCUGCCUCCCGGGGGUGGGGAGGUCCGGGGUGCAUUUGGCCUCCUUGGCCUCCUCCCAGAGAGCCCCCUGGCCUUCUGCCUGCUUCACCCCUGCCACCCUCCCAGUGGCGUCCUGGGUGGUGAAAGCUCUUUGCAAGGACCUAGACUCCAGUCCUGACACAGCCACAUACUAGCCGCCUGUAGUUGUAGACCUCCGGGCUCUGUCAAAAGGGGAAAGAACAUUCUUUGUAACCCGAAUGUUUCCUAGACUUUGCCAGUGUUUGGAUACAGAUAAUAUGCCAUUGCUUUCAAAAUCUCUGGGGAUAAACCCCGAAGUCCUAAAAAGGGCCUACAAGGGCUGAGUGGCUCCUGGCUUCUCUCUCAGCAUCCUCUCAUCCUCAUUUUUCCUCUUCUCCUCCACCACAUCUGCCCGUCUCCGUGGGUUGAGUCACCUUAUCAGUCCCUGGAACAGACGGGUUUCCUCCUCUUCAAGGCCUUUGUAACUGACUGCCAGGAAUGAUGUCCCUCUGUCUUGUUUGCUAAGUUAAUUCCUUUUCAUUCUCACUUCCUCAAACGUACCUGUAGGGAAGCCUUUCUUGACCAGCACCACAUACACCAUUCCCUAGACUGGGUUAGAUCCGGUUGCUCCUUUAUAGCUCUUUCCACAAUUGCAAUCGGGCAAUUAACUGGUUAGUUCUUUUUUUUUUUUUUUCUGUUGUUCUUUCUCUCUGUAUUUAUGUCGAUCCAUAAGAAAGUGCCAUUUUUGUAGACCCAAAAGGGUUGAAUAGUGGCAGUUUUAUUUUCAUCCAGUUCAACUUAAUAAAUUCCAUGUUUGUCUUAUUUACUGCUUGCUACUGUGCCUUGCACGUAGUAAGACCUCAGUAUGUCAGAUGAAUGCAUGAAACCUGAAUAUCAUUAGCUUAAAAUGCUCAAGGACUCACUCCGACAUUCUAGUCUCUGGUAGAUUUUCCUCAAGUGUUUCUGGGAUUCUCCAAGCUUGUAUUACCAGAUGCAUUCUUGAACCAGUCCUGAUGAUUGCUUCCUUCUGCUGUUGCUGGUUACCUGUGACUCUGCCAUCACCUCCACUGUCCCAAAAGUCCUGUGCCAAGACUUGGUGAUAACCAAGCUGGAGAUCCAUCCUGCCAUUAGCUGGGACAGGGAUCGGCCAGACUCGCUGCCUUCCGCUUCAGCUGAGCCAGGACUCUGUCACUGGGUGCAAAUCCCUGGCAGUGGUUCUGGCCACCAGUGCUUUCCCUCCUCGUGCCUUGAUGACUUAGCAGUUGGCUUCAAGUGGGGGAAUGGAACCACUCCCUCUCCUCGGCCAUGUUAUUGGAGGCCCCAUAGCAAGACUGCUUGGGUCUCAAGGAGUUAAGCUUAAUGAGUGAGGGCAGCAUGUUCAUGUUGCCAAGUCAGCUGGGUCAGGAAGGGUUCACCAGUCAGCUACCAUGUCUUACUGACCUCAGGUCCUAUUGCUGAAUUUGCCUUCUUAUGGUAAAUUUGAGAAAUUUCUUCUUUAAUUUUUGAUACGUUACUUUUCAUUGGUCCCUUAUUCCUUCUUUAAAUGUUUUCUUUUACAUUUAAAAAAUAAUACAUAUUUAUGAAAAGAAAUUCAAAGCAGUAGAGAAAAAUGCAAAAUAAAAAAUAAAGCUUCCCCCAGUGGUAACCACCAUUCACAGUUUCUUGUUGUGUAUAUCUUUCCAGAGAUUUUCUAUUACAGUACAGAUAUAGGUAUAGUCAAUUUCCUUCAAAAAUCCACAAAUGGGAUAGUGUUACAAGGUUCUUCUGCACUUUUCCUCAUUUAAUGUAUCUUGUACAUCUUUUUAUAUCAGCACGUAUAGAUGUACCUCAUUCUUUUUAAUAGAUGCAGAGUAUUGAUUUUACUCAAUUGGUCCCCCUGUUGAUGGGCAUUUUUUUUUAACAUCUUUAUUGGAGUAUAAUUGCUUUACAAUGGUGUAUUAGUUUCUGCUGUAUAACAAAGUGAAUCAGCUAUACAUAUACAUAUAUUCCCAUUUCUCCUCCCUCUUGCAUCUCCCUCCCACCCUCCCUAUCCCACCCCUUGGGCAUUUGUUUUACUGUGAUAAAUAAUGAUGCAAUGAGUGUCCCUGGCCACAAAUCUUUGCAUACUUGUAAAUCUGUAGAAUAAAUUCCUGGCAGUGAAAUUGCUGUGUCAAGGAGUAUGUGUGUGCACUUAAAUGGUUUAAUUAAAUCACCAAAUUGCCUCCAAAAAUGCAGCACCAAUUACACACCCAUCAACAGCUCGUAACAGUCCCUGUUUUAUCACACCCUCACUAGGACUGGAUAUUGUCACCUGCCUCCUUAUUGAAUCUGGACUCCUGUCUGCAUUUCAACUGUUGGCUCAUUCCAUGCAACACUGACCAUCAUCUCAGGCCAAGGCCGGGAGGCAGCCUGGGCCCACGUCAUGAGUUCACUUGCUCUGAUGGAAUGAAUUGCUUGGCCCCAGGGGCUGUGCAAAGCUGGGUCUCUGAGA